Molecule: long non-coding RNA, 422 nt
Filed under: Salvia miltiorrhiza (redroot sage)
Lineage: Eukaryota; Viridiplantae; Streptophyta; Magnoliopsida; Lamiales; Lamiaceae
Description: long non-coding RNA (SMIL_LNC013344)
Source: RNAcentral
GUUGAAAUAAUGCAUAUAAUAGGAGAAAUCGUUGAUAUUAGGUUACGCGGAAGUAUGUUUGCAUGUUUAGGAUAUUUGUAAGCAAAAUAAGUUUAAAAUUAUAUCAAUGAUCGUGAGAAUUAUAAUGUAAGAAUUUUUUCGUGUUUUACCCUCUGCCGUUUUGUAAGAAUUUUUCCGGACAUCAAAAAUUGACACUGAGACAGCUGGAAAUGACACCUUGACCGUUGGAAAUAACACUUGUACUAAAAAAUGACACUUAUCCAAAAAAAUGACACUUGAAAAAUAUUUUUCAAAAAAAAAUCACUAAAAAAAAAUCCCUCCCCCCUCCCAUCAUCUUCCCCAUUCCCCCACCCUAAUUUCCCUUCCCUCUGCCGCUGCCGCCCCCUACGAAAUUUACCCAGUCGUCGUCCCCUCCACAUCCG